RNAcentral lists this ribosomal RNA (504 nucleotides) under Juga occata. RNAcentral's name for it is "partial large subunit ribosomal RNA". It matches the Rfam family "Bacterial large subunit ribosomal RNA", at positions 1817 to 2597 of the family's 2925-position model. Lineage: Eukaryota; Metazoa; Mollusca; Gastropoda; Semisulcospiridae. The record is from RNAcentral.
GGCUCUCUGUUUAUAUAAAUAUAGGGAGUCGAGCCUGCCCAGUGAAUUUUUAAACGGCCGCGGUACUCUGACCGUGCAAAGGUAGCAUAAUCAUUUGCCUUAUAAUUGAAGGCUAGUAUGAAUGGUUUAACGAGAGCAACACUGUCUCCUUUUUAUUUUCAAGAACUUAACUUUUAGGUGAAGAGGCCUAAAUUCUAUUGAAGGACAAGAAGACCCUAUCGAGCUUAAAAGACACUAUAGAGGUUUAUAUAUUUUUAAAUAAAUUUUCUAUUAAGCUUUUUAGUUGGGGCGACUAAGGAACAAAAAAAGCUUCUUGCUAAUGAUAAACAGUCAUGUUUAGAUCCGAAAAUAUUCGAUCAAAGAAAUUAGUUACCGUAGGGAUAACAGCAUAAUCUCUCUUGAGAGACCUAAUCGAAAGAGGGGGUUGUGACCUCGAUGUUGGACUAGAAUAUCCUAAAGAUGCAGAAGUCUUUGAGGGUCGGUCUGUUCGACCGUUAAAAUUCU